Molecule: ribosomal RNA, 448 nt
Filed under: uncultured bacterium
Lineage: Bacteria
Description: bacterial SSU rRNA
Rfam family: Bacterial small subunit ribosomal RNA
Source: RNAcentral
GCCCAGACUCCUACGGGAGGCAGCAGUGGGGGAUAUUGCACAAUGGGGGGAACCCUGAUGCAGCGACGCCGCGUGGGCGAGGGAGCGCCUCGGCGCGUAAAGCCCUUUCGGCGGGGGAGAACGAUGACGGUACCCGACGAAGAAGCACCGACUAAAUACGUGCCAGCAGCCGCGGUAAUACGUAUGGUGCGAGCGUUGUCCGGAUUUACUGGGCGUGAAGGGGGCGCAGACGGCAGCGCAAGCCAGGAGUGAAAGCCCGGGGCCCAACCCCGGGACUGCUCUUGGAACUGCGCGGCUGGAGUGCAGGAGGGGCAGGCGGAAUUCCUGGUGUAGCGGUGAAAUGCGUAGAUAUCAGGAGGAACACCGGUGGCGAAGGCGGCCUGCUGGACUGCGACUGACGUUGAGGCCCGAAAGCGUGGGGAGCAAACAGGAUUAGAUACCCUUGUAC